Molecule: long non-coding RNA, 2867 nt
Filed under: Homo sapiens (human)
Lineage: Eukaryota; Metazoa; Chordata; Mammalia; Primates; Hominidae
Description: HSALNT0317185
Source: RNAcentral
CUUUGUGCCAGUGCCCCAGCAAGCUGCCACCAUGGCUGCCAAGCCCUGUCACCCUUGCUGAUCAGUACAGAGAGGGGCUCGCUGCGCUGGGUAGAGGAAGCAGGAAGUUUGCUGAACUCAGACGGAAGAAAAAGGAUUCCUCUGGAGAAUCCCAGCAGGUUUCUGAUUGGACAUGGGUCCAUGUCCUUGUGAAGUCUCCUCCUCCUGAACCUGCCCUGCUCUGUGACUUGCUUUUGACCACCAGCAUGCUGCAGAAGUGAUGCCGUGUGACUUCUGAGUGGGUCAUAGGAAGCCUUGCAGUGUGGCCUGGGUCUUCAGGAAUGCUUGUUUGAGGAAAACCACUGUCAUGUAAGAAGUAUGGCUACCCUGAGACUGUCAUGGUGUGAGGACUCCUAAAUGAGUCACAUGUGGAUGGCCACCUAUUCAGGCCUCAGUUCUUCCAGCCAUUGCGACUGUGGCCCACGCAUGUGGGGGAAGAGGCCAUUUUUCACGCCCAUCCCAGUUGAGUCUUUAGAUGAUCCCUUCCUGGGCCUCCAGCUGACUGUAACCAGACUCCAGGCAGGAACCACAUAGGAACUGAACCCAGUCAACCCACAGGCUGGGGAGGAUGAUAGUCCAUUGUUGUAUAAAGCCACUGCAUUUGGAAUGGUCUGUUGUAUACUACCUAAUCAGAACAAGACUCAAUCCUUUCUUCAUAGCUGGUAGUCUUAAGCAUUUAUUAAUUCAUAUUUUAGUCACAUUAUGAAUUUUCUAUCACAAUAAGCAUUUAUUGAGCACUUUUUAUAGAGGGACUAUGCUAGGCUUGAAGAAUAAAAGACACAUAGGACACGGCCCUGCUUAUGUUCAGGUAGCUGUGGUCUAAACGAGGACGCACACAUAAGGUGAAGACCCCAUGAGAUGGAAUACACGGGGAUAACAAGCCUCACAGUGGACUGGUCGCUUUACCAGGGGUGAGGCGAUUCUGCCUAUAAGGUAGGGAAGGACUUUCUGAAAGGGUGACACUGAGUUCCACCUUGAAAAAUGCCUGAGAAUUCACCCAUAGACACAGUGGAAGAGGGGUGUUCCGAGGAAGGGAGAUCAAUGUGCAGAGAGACAGAAAUCCCGGUUCGCUUAUUCCCAACAAGGCAGAGAACAAACCUCUCCCAGUGAUGCCCUCCCUUGUUCCCGUCCCCAAUCUUUUGAUAAUAGUGGGAAGGGUUUCAAAGUGAGGGUUAAAAAUGGGCUGGUUUUGCCACCCCUUAGUAAGUCUUGGGCAGGAUUCUCAACUCUUGACACUCAUUAAAAUCACCUGGGAAGCUUUUGCAAAACUCCAGCAUGGUACAACUACUUUAGAAACUGGUGUUAUCCAUUAAAACUAAACAUUUGCUUAUCUUAGCAAUUCCACUCCUAGGUUUAUAGAGUAAACAGAAACACAUACGUGCCUGUGUCAAAAAACAUGUAUAGGCAUGUUCAAGACCACACUGUUUGGCCAAGUGCCCUAGUUCAUGCCUGUAAUCCCAGCAUCUUGGGAGGCCAAGGCGGGAGUAUUGCUUGAGGCCAGGAGUUUGAGACCAGCCUGGGCAUCAUAGUGAGACUCCCAUCUUGACACACACACAGUUUUUUUUUUUAAUUAGCUGGGUGUGGUGGCGUGCACCUGUAGUCCUAGCUACUUGGGAGGCUGAGGUGAUAGGAUCCCUUGAGCCCAGAAGUUCAAGGCUGAAAUGAGCUAUGAUUGUGUCACAGCACUCCAGUAUGGGCAACAGAGAGAUCCUAUGUCCAAAACAAAAACAAAAACAAAACAAAAAUACACACAUUAUUUGUAAGAUGUAAAAAAAGGGAACAAUCCAUGUGUAUCAAUAGAAUAGUUAUAUGCUGUGUAUGCGUAAUUAGUGUCUUAACCUGUUCAGGCUGCUGAAUACCUCAACUGGGUAAUUUACAAACAACAGAAUUUAUGGCUCAUGGUUCUAGAGGCUAGGUAGUCUAAGAUGCAAACGUCAACAGAUUUGAUGUCUGGUAAGGCCCUGUUCAUCAUAGAUGGCACCCUUUUGCUGUGUCCUCACAUGGCAAAAGGGACAAACAGGAUUUUUUCAAGCCUCUUUUAUGAGGGUACUAAUUCCAUUUAUGGGGGGAGAGCCUUUGUAACCCAUUCACUUCCUAAAGCCCCCACCACUUAAUACUAUUGGAGAUUAGAUUUCAAUAUAUGAAAUUUGGGUGGGACACAAACAUUCAUACCAUAGCGGGCAGACAAUGUAAUACUAUACAGCAAUGAAAAGAAAUGAACAACAGCGACCCAGAACAACAUGAAUGAACUUUUUUUUUUUUUUUGACAGAGUCUUGCUCUAUUGCCCAGGCUGGAAUGCAGUGACACAAUCUUGGCCCAACCUCCACCUCUUGGGUUCAAGCAAUUCUCCUGCCUCCGCCUUCCGAGUAGCUGGGAUUACAGGCACACGCCACCAUGCCCAGCCAAUUUUUGUAUUUCUAGUAGAGAUGGGGUUUUGCCACGUUGAUCAGGCUGGUCUUGAACUCCUGACCUCGGGUGAUCCGCCUGCCUCAGCCUCCCAAAGUGCUGGGAUUGCAGGCAUGAGCCACUGCGCCAGGCCCAUGAAUGAAUCUUAAAAAUAAAAUAGUGAAUCAAGGAAGUCAGACACAAAGAGUACAUACUCUACGGCUGCAUUUCUAUAAAUAUCAAAAAGAGGCAAAACAAAUGUGUGGUGUUAGAAAUCAGGAGAGUGUUACUAUCCUGGGGAGGAAGGAGAAGACCUGAAGGAACUUGAGGGGGGCUUUGGCCUGCUGGUAGAGCUUUUUUUUUUUUUGUCUCGAUCUAGGUGGUAGUUACAUACGGAUAUUCACGUUGUAAAAGUUUGCCAAGGCUUUAAUGUAAUUAUCUG